CAUUAUUGAAUGAACUUGGUGUGGUUGUUGCUGGCCCCUUGGGGCAUGUGCACAUCCCACCAUCCUCAUCUCUCCACCUGUGCACCUCUUGUAGACUUGGUCUACGUUUUUCAUAUACCCCAUAGCAUGUAACAGAAUGUAUCAUAUUGGGCGCUUGUGCCUUAUAAACCUUAUACAACUUUCAGCAACGGAUCUCUUGGCUCUCGCAUCGAUGAAGAACGCAGCGAAAUGCGAUAAGUAAUGUGAAUUGCAGAAUUCAGUGAAUCAUCGAAUCUUUGAACGCACCUUGCGCUCCUUGGUAUUCCGAGGAGCAUGCCUGUUUGAGUGUCAUUAAAUUCUCAACCUUAUCGGUUGGAUGUGGGGGUUUGCUGGCUCAGGUCAGCUCCCCUUGAAUGCAUUAGCUGGUGCCCCGUGUGGACUGUCUAUUGGCGUGAUAAUUAUCUACGCCGUGGAUGAGCACUGCUUCCAACACCACAAUUACAUGACAAUUUGACCUCAAAUCAGGUAGGACUACCCGCUGAACUU
Molecule: ribosomal RNA, 525 nt
Filed under: uncultured fungus
Lineage: Eukaryota; Fungi
Description: eukaryotic LSU rRNA
Rfam family: 5.8S ribosomal RNA (bases 177-330)
Source: RNAcentral